RNAcentral lists this ribosomal RNA (422 nucleotides) under Salmonella enterica. RNAcentral describes it as "bacterial SSU rRNA". It matches the Rfam family "Bacterial small subunit ribosomal RNA", at positions 1 to 419 of the family's 1533-position model. Lineage: Bacteria; Pseudomonadati; Pseudomonadota; Gammaproteobacteria; Enterobacterales; Enterobacteriaceae. The record is from RNAcentral.
AAAUUGAAGAGUUUGAUCAUGGCUCAGAUUGAACGCUGGCGGCAGGCCUAACACAUGCAAGUCGAACGGUAACAGGAAGCAGCUUGCUGCUUCGCUGACGAGUGGCGGACGGGUGAGUAAUGUCUGGGAAACUGCCUGAUGGAGGGGGAUAACUACUGGAAACGGUGGCUAAUACCGCAUAACGUCGCAAGACCAAAGAGGGGGACCUUCGGGCCUCUUGCCAUCAGAUGUGCCCAGAUGGGAUUAGCUGGUUGGUGAGGUAACGGCUCACCAAGGCGACGAUCCCUAGCUGGUCUGAGAGGAUGACCAGCCACACUGGAACUGAGACACGGUCCAGACUCCUACGGGAGGCAGCAGUGGGGAAUAUUGCACAAUGGGCGCAAGCCUGAUGCAGCCAUGCCGCGUGUAUGAAGAAGGCCUUC